AUUGAACGCUAGCGGCAUGCCUUACACAUGCAAGUCGAACGGAGUGGCGAACGGGGGAGUAAUGUAUCGGAACGUGCCCAGUAGCGGGGGAUAACUACGCGAAAGCGUAGCUGAUACCGCAUACGAUAGGAGCGGCCGAGAUCGUAUUAGCUAGUUGGGUGGGUAACGGCCCACCAAGUCGACGAUCCGUAGCUGGUUUGAGAGGACGACCAGCCACACUGGGACUGAGACACGGCCCAGACUCCUACGGGAGGCAGCAGUGGGGAAUUUUGGACAAUGGGGGAAACCCUGAGCCAGCCAGCCCGCGUGUGCGAUGAAGGCCUUCGGGUUGUAAAGCACUUUUGGCAGGAAAGCGGUACCUGCAGAGUAAGCACCGGCUAACUACGUGCCAGCAGCCGCGGUAAUUC
Molecule: ribosomal RNA, 407 nt
Filed under: uncultured bacterium
Lineage: Bacteria
Description: partial 16S ribosomal RNA
Rfam family: Bacterial small subunit ribosomal RNA
Source: RNAcentral